Erinaceus europaeus (western European hedgehog) is the source of this 100-nucleotide small nuclear RNA. The record is from Ensembl. NCBI's taxonomy places the organism in Eukaryota, Metazoa, Chordata, Mammalia, Eulipotyphla, Erinaceidae.
UUGCUACGGCAGCACAUAUACCAAGAUUAGAACAGUACAGAGGAGAUGAGCAUGAUACCUGCACAAGAUAACAAUCAUUUGUGAAAUGCUCCAUAUCAAA